GUGGCUCAACGGCAGAUCAUCUGCUUAGCGUGCAGAAGGCCCCACGUUCAAUCCCUGCUUUUCCA
Molecule: transfer RNA, 65 nt
Filed under: Sphaerodactylus townsendi
Lineage: Eukaryota; Metazoa; Chordata; Lepidosauria; Squamata; Sphaerodactylidae
Description: tRNA-Ala
Source: RNAcentral